CUACGGGCCGCAGCAGGCGAGAAAACUUUGCAAUGUGCGAAAGCACGAUAAGGUUAAUCCGAGUGGUUUCUGCUAAAGGAACCUUUUGACAGUCCUAGAAACACUGUUGAAUAAGGGGUGGGUAAGUUCUGGUGUCAGCCGCCGCGGUAAAACCAGCACCUCAAGUGGUCAGGAUGAUUAUUGGGCCUAAAGCAUCCGUAGCCGGCUCUGUAAGUUUUCGGUUAAAUCUGUACGCUCAACGUACAGGCUGUCGGGAAUACUGUAGAGCUAGGGAGUGGGAGAGGUAGACGGUACUCGGUAGGAAGGGGUAAAAUCCUUUGAUCUAUUGAUGACCACCUGUGGCGAAGGCGGUCUACCAGAACACGUCCGACGGUGAGGGAUGAAAGCUGGGGGAGCAAACCGGAUUAGAUACCCCCGUAGUC
This 422-nucleotide ribosomal RNA is filed under the name uncultured archaeon. RNAcentral describes it as "partial 16S ribosomal RNA". It matches the Rfam family "Archaeal small subunit ribosomal RNA", at positions 323 to 746 of the family's 1478-position model. The record is from RNAcentral.